UACGUAGGUGGCAAGCGUUGUCCGGAUUUAUUGGGUUUAAAGGGUGCGUAGGCGGUCUUUUAAGUCAGUGCUGAAAUACUCCAGCUUAACUGGAGGGGUGGCAUUGAUACUGGAAGACUCGAGUGGAGUCGAAGUAGGCGGAAUUGACGGUGUAGCGGUGAAAUGCUUAGAUAUCGUCAAGAACACCGAUAGUGAAGACAGCUUACUAGGCUUCAACUGACGCUGAGGCACGAAAGUGUGGGGAUCAAACAGG
This 253-nucleotide ribosomal RNA is filed under the name uncultured bacterium. RNAcentral describes it as "partial 16S ribosomal RNA". It matches the Rfam family "Bacterial small subunit ribosomal RNA", at positions 524 to 776 of the family's 1533-position model. The record is from RNAcentral. RNAcentral also lists the same sequence under 1 other name.